CUUACCCUCCCCCCAAUUAAUUCCUAUGCUUUAAUACCAUCUAAGAGUCCUUAGUGAGAAGAGGAUCUGCUUGCUAUGCAGGUGCAAGUUUUCAGCACCACAGCACAACAGCAAUGCCACCCGCUCUGCCCUCCUCAGGGCUUCUCUUUGUGAGCCACUUUUUCUUUUCUUCCUUUUCAGCUCCGUGCUGAACAACCCCAUGCAGAUAAUCUGAUUAUGCUAAUUUGUACUUCAUGAACCCAAAGGAAAGGGAUCUGCGGAGGAAAAUCUGAAAGGAGACAGGACCUGACCUUCUGUAGGAAAACUGGAAAAGAAGGAGGGUAACCAGAGUGAUGAAGCUGGAAGGUGCAGAAAGAUAAAGGCUCCUUGCGGUCACUGCCAUGUUCAUUUCCCUCCCUCUCCUCCCACGAGCACAUACAAGGUAGCCUGAGUAGUUUUCACUGCCUGGCAAUGAAACGGAUGCCACUCGGUGGGGAUAAACCAGUACUG
Molecule: long non-coding RNA, 489 nt
Organism: Motacilla alba alba
Lineage: Eukaryota; Metazoa; Chordata; Aves; Passeriformes; Motacillidae
Exons: 3
Source: RefSeq, a predicted model, not a curated record